This 450-nucleotide ribosomal RNA is filed under the name uncultured bacterium. RNAcentral's name for it is "partial 16S ribosomal RNA". It matches the Rfam family "Bacterial small subunit ribosomal RNA", at positions 354 to 796 of the family's 1533-position model. The record is from RNAcentral.
GUGGGGAAUCUUCCGCAAUGGACGAAAGUCUGACGGAGCGACGCCGCGUGAGUGAAGAAGGCCUUCGGGUCGUAAAGCUCUGUCAUCAGGGACGAACGGCCGGUGGAGUGGAAAGCCACCGGAUUGACGGUACCUGAGAAGGAAGCCACGGCUAACUACGUGCCAGCAGCCGCGGUAAUACGUAGGUGGCAAGCGUUGUCCGGAAUUAUUGGGCGUAAAGCGCGCGCAGGUGGGAUCUUAAGUCCAUUUUUAAAGUUCGGAGCUCAACUCCGUGAUGGGAUGGAAACUGGGAUUCUUGAGUACCGGAGAGGAAAGCGGAAUUCCCCGUGUAGCGGUGAAAUGCGUAGAUAUGGGGAGGAACACCAGUGGCGAAGGCGGCUUUCUGGACGGUGUCUGACACUGAGGCGCGAAAGCCAAGGGAGCGAACGGGAUUAGAUACCCGGGUAGUCC